UAUGCGCGUGCUCAAGUGAAAAUGGUUUUUUUCCUACAAGAAGAGAAGACUCAUUUGUCCCCCUCGUUUUCGAGAAAAUUCAACGACCGCGUCUCUUGAAACCCUAAAAUCCGAUAGUUAGGAGACAAAAGUACGUUCUAGAAUUGCGAUAGAACUCUCAAGACCCCCUCGCUUCGUUAGCGGAUGAUUGUAUUCUCUACCCCCUCUUUCUCUCUCUCAUUGUCGAGGUAAUUAUGACUCAAUAUUAAUCCUCCCCUCUUUUUACUCUCUCUCUCUAGGUUGCUUAUUGUCCAAAGUUCAGCAUCAAGAAAAAGUGUUGCUUUUGGAUUGAUUCAAUUUCUAUGCAUACGAACCGAUGGAAUAGAUUGUAUGAUUUCGGAAUUCUACCAUCAAUUGCAGGAACUUCGUGUUUUUUAGUUGCUGUCCAAGUCCGUGCUGAUGCUAUUGUCGUAGAUUGAUGAUGAGGUUUUAUAUAGAUUUGAGAGAUGGAUUUGCAAUUGGGUGCGAUCGUUGAAGAAACGGGAUCGUAAUGAUUUUGGAGCGCUUGGAAUUUAAUCAUUUUCAGUACAUUUCUACAUUAUAAAUUUUCUAUUUUUUUUUUUUUCUUUUGUCAGCUUGGUUAUUUCCUAAAAGCUUGAAAUUUUGAAGACAAAGCUCGCUCGUCACUUCAUCUUGUGAUACUUAGCUUCCACUCUACUGAUACAAAAACUUUUUAUUGUUUUAUUUAUUUUGUGAAUUAUUUCAGCAAUUAGUGCCACUUAGGUUCCUAGCAGGGGAAUAAAAAAUGAUACUUAAGUUCUGAAUUCUUGAACCUUACCACCCAAUUUUUAAUUAUUAUUAUUUUUUUUCUAGACUUCAUAUUUGAGUUUCUUAUUGUACCCAUAAUGGUCGACUUGGGUUUUGGUGUCAUAUGAGAAAUAAAGGAAGGCUUUGUUGUUGUGGGAGACCUGCUUUUUAGUCUAUUUAAUUUAAUGUGCUUCAAAAUUGUUUCUAUAUCGGCAGAUUUGGGUUUUGGGGGCUGACUUAAGAUAGAUAGAAAAUUUUGUGAUGGAUGGUUCUCAUGGUAGUUCUAAUGCACCGCCUCCUUUCCUCACAAAGACGUAUGAGAUGGUGGAAGAUACAGUCACAAACUCCGUUGUUUCCUGGAGUCAAAGUGGCCAAAGCUUCAUUGUGUGGAAUCCACCCGAAUUUGCUAGAGAUUUGCUACCCAAGUAUUUCAAGCACAAUAAUUUCUCCAGCUUUGUCAGACAACUGAACACAUAUGGUUUUAGAAAGAUUGAUCCUGAUCAGUGGGAGUUUGCAAAUGAGGAAUUCAUAAGAGGACAAAGAAAUCUUCUAAAGAAUAUUCACCGUCGCAAGCCAAUUCAUAGCCAUUCUGUGCCGAAUCAAGGGUUUUCAGUUCCAUUAACUGAUUCUGAAAGAAGGGAGUUUGAGGAGGAGAUUCAGAAGCUAAAACAUGAGAAGAGUUUACUUCAGUUGGAGUUACAAAGGAACAAGCAGGAGAAGCAGGAAUAUGAAGUUGACGUACGGUUACUGGGAGAGCGGUUGGAGUCCAUGGACCUCCGACAGAGGCAAAUGAUGUGCUUCUUGGCUGAAGAAUUGCAGAAACCCAGGUCUGGCCCCAAUUUCAUGCAACAGUCGGAAAUUAAUAAUAAAAAGAGAAGGUUGUUGAUAUCUAGUUGCUUAUAUGAUGAAGCUAAUAUGGGAGAGAACCAGAUUUUGACUUUCAAGAAGGAAAGCCUAGAUUCAUCAUCUGUUCCAGUGCUAAAUUUGGAGCUAAUUGAGAAGUUGGAAUCAUCCUUAAUUUUUUUGGAGAAUUUUCUGCAUUUGGUUGGUCAAACUUUGUCUGAAGAAAUAUUUGAUUUUGGUGUGCUAACACAACCUUCACAAGUCAUCAUUAUGGAAACACAUGCAACAUCUAGAGAUUAUGAUGUGAAUGUCCAGCCGUUCUCACCAAACUUACAUCUGUCAUCACCUGAUUCAAGGGAUCAUUCGUCACCAGAGUUGGCUGGAUCUUCAAGUCAUGUGGGGAGCCCUGCUGGUUCAUCUAUAUGCGUUGAUGUAGAUGUUUGGACCAAGUCUUCAGGGAUUGAUGUAAAUUCAAAGCCUGCUGAUGUUUCUGAAGUUGAUACUCCAAAAGAACGGGUAGAGGGGAUGACGCUUCCAGUUGUGCCGACUGGGGCGAAUGAUGUCUUUUGGGAGCAGUUCCUAACAGAGACUCCUGGUUCCUCUGACACACAGGAAGUUCAGUCAGAAAGAAGAGACACUGAUGGCAGGAAGAUUGAAAGUAAGCCAGCAGAUAACCGUAAAUAUUGGUUAAAUAUGAAUAAUGUAGACAGCCUUACAGAAAAGAUGGGGCAUCUCACUCCAGCUGAAAGAACUUGAUGUUGGUUGAUUACUUCUUUCAACAUUUAUAUCAUAGUGGGUCGCUGUAUAAUAAUCCAACCAAGAGCAGGAAGACACUGAAGGAGUUGUCGUUUUGGUGGAUUGGGGUUGUCUGCAUCAACAAAAGAGGAUAAUCCAGGUCAGGUGGCAUCGAGGAUCCAUUCACUCCCCCCGUGAGCUUGAAGGAUGAAUCCCAUGCCAACAUACUUUUACAGUUGGCUAUCGCUUUACUAGCAGAUGAUCACUGAGACCGGGAGCUGGAAGAUCAAUAUAUACAUGUAUACAAUAUAUAUAUAUAUAUUUGUCAAUAUUUACAAAUAUCCCGUUGCUUGGUAGAUCAGCUCUUGGUACUGUUCUUUGCCCCCACUAAAUCCAGACUUGGAUAUUUUUUAAUAAUAUUUUACAUGUGAUAUUAAAUUCGAUGGCAAGGAAAUGUAUUGCCUGCUUGGUUUGUAAUUAUGAAAACAGUUUUAUGUUUUCAGUUACAAAAAUCUCUGUCUAGUUCAAUUUUCAGAA
Cornus florida is the source of this 2901-nucleotide RNA transcript. It is a transcript of the gene named heat stress transcription factor A-4b-like, with no coding region annotated. The transcript is spliced from 4 exons. NCBI's taxonomy places the organism in Eukaryota, Viridiplantae, Streptophyta, Magnoliopsida, Cornales, Cornaceae. The record is from RefSeq and is a predicted model, not a curated record.